This 91-nucleotide transfer RNA is filed under the name Streptomyces lavendulae subsp. lavendulae. RNAcentral describes it as "tRNA-Pro". The record is from RNAcentral. Lineage: Bacteria; Bacillati; Actinomycetota; Actinomycetes; Kitasatosporales; Streptomycetaceae.
GCCCGCCUGGCCAAUCGGUAGAGGUGAGUGGCACCCGGCUUGCCCCGGGGAAACGCCACAGAGUUCCGGGUUCGAAUCCCGGGGCGGGUAC